GGUGCCCGUACCGCAAACCGACACAGGUAGGUAGGAAGAAGAUUCUAAGGCCAACGGGAGAAGGGUUGUUAAGGAACUCGGCAAAUUGACCCCGUAACUUCGGGAGAAGGGGUGCUGCAGCAAUGCAGCCGCAGAGAAUCGGCCCAAGCAACUGUUUACCAAAAACACAGGUUUGUGCUAAAUCGAAAGAUGACGUAUACGAGCUGACGCCUGCCCGGUGCUGGAAGGUUAAGAGGAGAUGUGCAAGCAUUGAAUCGAAGCCCCAGUGAACGGCGGCCGUAACUAUAACGGUCCUAAGGUAGCGAAAUUCCUUGUCAGGUAAGUUCUGACCCGCAUGAAAGGCGUAAUGAUUUGGGCACUGUCUCAACAGCCCGCCCGGCGAAAUUGUAGUACCGGUGAAGAUGCCGGUUACCCGCGACAAGACGGAAAGACCCCAUGGAGCUUUACUGUAGCCUAAUAUUGGGUUUCGAUGUUGCAUGCACAGGAUAGAUGGGACACAGGGAAGCAGGUGCUUUGGCGCUUGUGGAGUGGCCGUUGGGAUACCAUCCUUGCGAUAUUGGAAUUCUAACCUGCGCCUUUGAAUCAAGGCGGGGGACAUUGUUAGGUGGGCAGUUUGACUGGGGCGGUCGCCUCCUAAAGAGUAACGGAGGCGUUCAAAGGUUCGCUCAGCUUGAACGGAAAUCAAGCAAAAGAGUGCAAACGCAGAAGCGAGCCUAACUGCGAGACUGACGGGUCGAGCAGUAACGAAAGUUGGAGUUAGUGAUCCGGUGGUAUGUGAGUGGAAAUGCCAUCGCUCAACGGAUAAAAGUUACCCUGGGGAUAACAGGCUGAUCUCCCCCAAGAGUCCACAUCGACGGGGAGGUUUGGCACCUCGAUGUCGGCUCAUCGCAUCCUGGGGCUGUAUUCGGUCCCAAGGGUUUGGCUGUUCGCCAAUUAAAGCGGUACGCGAGCUGGGUUCAGAACGUCGUGAGACAGUUCGGUCCCUAUCUGUCGUGGGCGCAGGAUAUUUGAUGGGAGCUGUUCCUAGUACGAGAGGACCGGAGCGGACGUACCUCUGGCGCACCAGUUGUUCUGCCAAGAGCAUAGCUGGGCAACUAUGUACGGAUCGGAUAAACGCUGAAAGCAUCUAAGCGUGAAGCCGACCCAAAGAUAAGAUAUCCCAUUGUUUCAAACAAGUAAGACCCCUUGAAGACUACAAGGUUGAUAGGCACGAUGUGUAAGUGGAGCGAUCCAUUCAGCAAGCGUGUACUAAUAGGUCGAGGGCUUGACCAC
This 1272-nucleotide ribosomal RNA is filed under the name human gut metagenome. RNAcentral describes it as "bacterial LSU rRNA". It matches the Rfam family "Bacterial large subunit ribosomal RNA", at positions 1637 to 2925 of the family's 2925-position model. The record is from RNAcentral.